RNAcentral lists this ribosomal RNA (491 nucleotides) under uncultured bacterium. RNAcentral describes it as "partial 16S ribosomal RNA". It matches the Rfam family "Bacterial small subunit ribosomal RNA", at positions 29 to 506 of the family's 1533-position model. The record is from RNAcentral.
AGUGAACGCUGGCGGUAGGCCUAACACAUGCAAGUCGAACGGCAGCACAGUAAGAGCUUGCUCUUACGGGUGGCGAGUGGCGGACGGGUGAGGAAUACAUCGGAAUCUACUUUUUCGUGGGGGAUAACGUAGGGAAACUUACGCUAAUACCGCAUACGACCUACGGGUGAAAGCAGGGGAUCUUCGGACCUUGCGCGAUUGAAUGAGCCGAUGUCGGAUUAGCUAGUUGACGGGGUAAAGGCCCACCAAGGCGACGAUCCGUAGCUGGUCUGAGAGGAUGAUCAGCCACACUGGAACUGAGACACGGUCCAGACUCCUACGGGAGGCAGCAGUGGGGAAUAUUGGACAAUGGGCGCAAGCCUGAUCCAGCCAUACCGCGUGGGUGAAGAAGGCCUUCGGGUUGUAAAGCCCUUUUGUUGGGAAAGAAAAGCAGCAGGUUAAUACCCCGCUGUUCUGACGGUACCCAAAGAAUAAGCACCGGCUAACUUCGU